UCCGGUUUGUCACCGGCAGUCUCGCAUGAGUCCCCAACUAAAUGCUGGCAACAUGCGACGGGGGUUGCGCUCGUUGCGGGACUUAACCCAACAUUUCACAACACGAGUUGACGACAGCCAUGCACCACCUGUGAUCGUGCCCCGAAGGGAGGGUGUGUUUCCACGGCGGUCACCCACAUGUCAAGCCCAGGUAAGGUUCUUCGCGUUGCGUCGAAUUAAACCACAUGCUCCGCUGCUUGUGCGGGUCCCCGUCAAUUCCUUUGAGUUUUAACCUUGCGGCCGUACUCCCCAGGCGGAGUGCUUAAUGCGUUAGCUGCGACACCGAGGCUCUAAGAGCCCCAACGUCUAGCACUCAUCGUUUACGGCGUGGACUAC
Molecule: unclassified non-coding RNA, 375 nt
Filed under: uncultured bacterium
Lineage: Bacteria
Description: contains 16S-23S intergenic spacer region
Source: RNAcentral